UCUAGUGGUUAGGAUUCGGCGCU
This 23-nucleotide non-coding RNA is filed under the name Xenopus tropicalis (tropical clawed frog). RNAcentral also lists the same sequence under 3 other names. Lineage: Eukaryota; Metazoa; Chordata; Amphibia; Anura; Pipidae. The record is from RNAcentral.